GCUUGCCAACAUAUCUUGAUAAUUGGCCCAUUUAUAGCUACCUCAUAGUGAAAUGCAAUUUAAUUUAUGCGAUUAUUACCUCAAAGCGGAUUAAGCAGCCCAGCAGUGGAAAGCAGUGGACAAACAGGGCUAAAUGCUGGCAUCUCUCAUGAUUAAUAUAUUUUCCGGUGGGUGAAAAUCAGCCCAGAAUGAAUUAAUUCCGUUUAAUUAAUUAACUGAAAAUAUCAAUGAAAAUUCAUGAAAUAUA
Molecule: long non-coding RNA, 247 nt
Organism: Drosophila persimilis
Lineage: Eukaryota; Metazoa; Arthropoda; Insecta; Diptera; Drosophilidae
Exons: 2
Source: RefSeq, a predicted model, not a curated record